AACGAACGCUGGCGGCGUGCUUAACACAUGCAAGUCGAACGCGAAAGAGGGCUUCGGCCUUCGAGUAGAGUGGCGCACGGGUGAGUAACGCGUAGAUAACCUGUCCUUAUGUCCGGAAUAAUACUUCGAAAGGGGUGCUAAUACCGGAUGUUCUUGUUUUUCCAUAAGUUAUACAAGCAAAGAUGGCCUCUGUUUCAAGCUAUCGCGUAAGGAGGGGUCUGCGUACCAUUAGCUAGUAGGUGGGGUAAUGGCCUACCUAGGCAACGAUGGUUAGCGGGUCUGAGAGGAUGACCCGUCACACUGGCACUGGAAUACGGGCCAGACUCCUACGGGAGGCAGCAGUGAGGAAUAUUGCGCAAUGGGGGAAACCCUGACGCAGCGACGCCGCGUGAGUGAGGAAGGCCUUCGGGUCGUAAAGCUCUGUCAUGAGGGAAGAAGUGCAUGAUGGCUAAUACCCAUUGUGUUUGACGGUACCUCAAAAGGAAGCACCGGCUAACUCCGUGCCAGCAGCCGCAGUAAAAC
This 522-nucleotide ribosomal RNA is filed under the name uncultured bacterium. RNAcentral's name for it is "bacterial SSU rRNA". It matches the Rfam family "Bacterial small subunit ribosomal RNA", at positions 29 to 526 of the family's 1533-position model. The record is from RNAcentral.